AUGGCGGAUUCCAAGAUGCCGGACAUCCAGGCCGGCUACGAAAAGGGCAUCACCAACGUGAUGGCCGGACUGUCCGGGCUCAACCUGGUCUACGAGUCGG
Mesorhizobium sp. is the source of this 100-nucleotide regulatory RNA element. It matches the Rfam family "Pyrrolysine insertion sequence mttB". The record is from Rfam. NCBI's taxonomy places the organism in Bacteria, Pseudomonadati, Pseudomonadota, Alphaproteobacteria, Hyphomicrobiales, Phyllobacteriaceae.